AAAAGCGUUCGGCUAUUUUGGAGAUCGGAACUACGGCUGGUUGUUGACUGAUCGGGCGACUAUACUGGAAAAUUAACGAAGGUCUCGAAUGCCAAGCAGUUGCAAGCACAAUCAAAGUGUACAAGGAUACGUGAGUGAGUAUGAGAAAAGUAGACUCUUGAUGGUUCAAUAAAAUGAAAAAAGAACAUAAGACUUGGGAGUGAAAAACAUUGCAAAUUCUUUCACAAGUUUUGUACAGAGUCAUAUAAUGAAGAAAAAAUGUAGUGAACGCAUCGCACGCUAAUGUAUAAGAUGCAGACUAUAUUCCCGAGACAGGUGAUGAUGGUGAGGGGGAAUACCAAGAUGCUGCUACAAGUGUUGAAGUAUCCAAAAAGGCAACGCCAAGUGAUUGCUCCAAAAGUCUCCCGAUAGUUUUCACUUGAUUCAUAUGCAACACAAGUGAAUCAAUCAAGAACAAAAAUUACCAUUGGUGAACUUCUAUCAAGUAAUAAAGGGCCACAAAGGCAAAAGGAGGUAUUAAAAAAAAUAAGGCAAAACCGAACUGUAUCAAAAGCGGAGCAAAGAGACAAUUGACCCUUGUUGAUGACGAUGAUGAGAAAUUUAAGAUGUUAAUGGAGUAGAUAUUGGAACUAGAUGGUUUCAAAGAUGAUGAGAAUGAAGCAGCUAUUAUGAGCUCUCAAGCAAUAACAAGAUGAUGUUGAUCAAGAUGAUAAAUACGAAGACAUGUACCAUAUGCCAUUUGCAAAUUAUGAAAAUGAGAUACAAGGGGACGAUAGCAAGGAUGAUUUGGGAAACGAGGAUGAAGAACUAGUUCAAGAACAAUUGCUUGAAAUGAGAAAAGAAAUGGAAGAGGUUCAUCAAAGGAAAAAAAAAGCCGAGCAAGAAGCUAUACACAAAGAUUUUGACAGCUAGCAAGCAAACUUUGAAGCUACGACGUGAAGUAUUAUGAAAAAACUACCUAUUGGAGUGAUUCAUGAUCUUGAAGAUGAGUAGGAGGUUUUCUUUAUGUAUUAUCAUUGUGAUUGAAAACUUUGUUUUGAUUACAUUAUUAUUCGA
Long non-coding RNA from Helianthus annuus (common sunflower), 1056 nucleotides. RefSeq lists it as uncharacterized. The record is from RefSeq and is a predicted model, not a curated record. NCBI's taxonomy places the organism in Eukaryota, Viridiplantae, Streptophyta, Magnoliopsida, Asterales, Asteraceae. The transcript is spliced from 5 exons.